GUUCUCACCACUGUGGUAAUGGCAAUUGUGUGAGCAUUGUCUGCCUCUCUUUGAUUUUGUCCAUUUUCCAGUUGUUGAUUGCCAGCACUCCAAAUCAAACAUUUCUUCCUUCAAAUGCAAUUAGAAAGUCCCUCCAGAACCCCCGAAAACUUCUCAGUAAUACCUUUUAUACAGCCAGUUUGCAUCUUGAAGGUUGUUGCGAUGUUUGCAGAGGUGACCCAGAAAACAAAUAUUUCUGGUUAUUCUUAAUGACCGUAAUUCAUUUUCUACAGGCUUCCCAUUCCUCCCACCUUCGGUUGUGCUCCCAGAAGGCUCAGUCACACAGACAGGAGUCCUUCCACCUCAUUUUCCACUAUCUCCUCUGAAUUUUGCCUGUGAGAUUCUGAUGACCCCAUGGUUGUGCCACAGCUGGGAGGUACAAGUGACUUCAAUUCCUUUGGUGCAGUCAGGACAGCAAAGCUUUCAGCCCUUGGAGCGUUGUUAACUAUUUUUCCGAGCACCUCACCAGCAGCACAGCCCUUGGACUGCUCAGUGAGUGAACAUGAUCUGCCACAAAUGGCAUCUUGAGGUAGCCUGGGUGGGACAUACGCACAAGGAGAUGUGUGGGCUGAGAAUUAGAACAUAGACAAUAGUCAGGACUGCAGAAAUAGAGUAUCCUUCAAUCUCAACAAGGAAACCUUGACGUUAUAUCUCUGCUUUCAUCCAUGUUCAGACCAGAUUCUGAAUUCUCGAUGUAAAAAUAGUGGGGCAUCUCAGAAAUAAAAUACUGCAAAGGAGCUAAAGUACAAAGAAUUGUCUCCAGGUCUAUCACAGGCCUUGCAGGACGAUAAAGCUGGUAAAGAUUUCCAAGAAGAAAAACAAACAAGUGGAGAUUGCUCCCAGUUAAGUUAUAAAACCCCUUAUUUGGAGAAGCAAUAACAAAAGUAAAUACUUGUUGAGACUAGAGGAAGACAAAAUGUUACUGUGUAAGAUGUGAUAAACUGCAAAGAUCUAUGUUGUGCUUGAGCAGAGACCCACAUUUUUGAUACUGUAAAGUAUCAUUGUUGAACCUGACUAUCUAAGGGGACAGAGACUGUAGGAAGAGUCUGCACAUAGGUAGAAACUGGCUGGAGCCACAUUUUAAAUGGAAUUGAGCUUUGAAAUUGAAAGUUUUCCUAGAUUUGAAAUUGUGUUGGUCCACAAUUUAUGUUUCCCUGCAUUUUUCUUUCUGUCACUGAUGUAGAACUUUUCAGUGCUUUCCCAUCUGGAGUACGUGCAGCACCAUUAUUACAGCUUCACACUCAAUAUAGUGUCCAUUUCUCAAAGCUCCCUUUUUCCUUCAGAUGGACUUACAGAGAAAGAAUAAGCAUCUUUCCUCACUAUCAAAUUGGGAUUGCAGUUAACAAUCACUUGGCAGACGAGAGUAGGUUAUUUUAAUGAACACAUCAUUCUGAAAUAAGCUUCGCCAUCUGUUCAGUCCCCUAAUUAUAAAUGCAAACAAUAUAAUUCAUAAACGCACUAUAAAAGAGAGGGAAAGAGAAAACAGCUUCAUAUGACUUUUUGUCAGUUAUUCCAGGCAGUGAUGCAUCUGCUUACUUUAUUCCUGUUUCAGGAACAGGUAGGAAACAAUCUUUAGAUUCUGUGUUUCAUAGCAGUCACUGACCCACAGUAAAUGAUUGCCUGCAGAUGAUAAAGAUGUGAUUAAGUGCAGUAUGGUUUCUGGUUGCCGUCAUUAUUUAGCCAUGUCUAUGAUGGAAGUGUCCAUGACAGAUCACCCAGACCAUCCCAGGGGCCAGAAAUAAGCUUUGAGCAUGUAUUUCAGAACAGGAGGAACGAGCCUGUAGCACUGGAGUGCCCUCCAGGGUAACAGGAGCUGAGGGUACAGAUGACGCUGCUAUUUUCUCCUUGAAAAGAUGUCGUUGACAUUUUUGAGAACUGGGAAAAUUUCAGAAACAACCAGAAAGUUGAAAAUACUGUCAACAUAAAAUCCAAGGAUUUCUGGAAUUUGUUACUGUAACUUGUGAGUUUUUUUCAUUUUGAAAGAAGGAAAAAAAAUUAAUCUGAAAUAUGCAAAACGUCAAAAUGAAAUGUGAACAAAAUAUGUCGGUUCAUUCCCAUUUUCUGUUGAAAAAAAUGAAAGUAAUCCAAAUUAAAUGUAUUUUCAUGAAACAUUUAAUUUAAAUACAGCUGCAUCUUUAAUUUUCUAAAAGUCAGUGCAGAAUUAUCCCUUUCUCACAAUUACCAGGUUUAUAGGCUCCAUAAAACUAAAAGCUUUCUAGUAACUCUGUAAUCUGUGGGCUGGAUGACUCAUGCUCCCAGCCACUAAAGUGAACUUUCACAUUCGGACAUCAGUGGAAAAUCUUUAUAGCAGAAGAAUAUCCCCCCCAAACACCUACACAACAUAAUUCCCAGGGCAAAAGGGAGUGAGAAAUUACAAGCUCCUUCUGUCGUCUUGGUGAUAUGUAUCAACAUUGCAGAACAACAUAAUUCGAUUUCAUAUUCAAUGUGAAAAACUAGCAGUAUAUAUAAUAAUUCUAGGAUGAUGCACUCCUGUUAAUUCUCUCUGGGUUUUUCAUUUCUUCUUGUUUCUGUGACGAGCAAGGUACUCGCAAGCAAUAAGGUUUAAGAUUAGCAUAGAUCAUCCUUCUGCUACAUCUGAUUGACCUGCAAUCCAGAAGAGACCAGCACGCUGUCAAAGGUGAGCUUACUAAAGGUAGGUCUUUCACUGCACCUGCGUGUGACUACCUGUGAUCUGCUUUGUCCAAGAGAAUCCGAUUCAGAGAGAAUUUAUCUUCUAAAUCUAUGGGAAACCAAUUAACAUAAAAAGAGUGCAUGAACUGAGAAAACACAAUGAGAACUGCUCCAAACCAACUCUCUCAAAUAUCAGAUACGUUCCUUUAACUCUGUAGAGAUACAUUUAAUGCUGGUCUCAUGUGCUUUCAAGUGCAGGGCUCCCACCCAGCUGGGCUGGAGGAGGCUGGAUUUCAAAGCAGACGAACCCAGGCAUGGGCACGUUGAAGCUGUCAUUACCGCUGGCUGCUGCUGCUCGGGAACUGAGUAAGUCUGGAUGGCAGACAAGCAUCUCCAUCCCCUCCUCCUAUGAUUAUUUCUCUUCAUUGCAAGCUGACAGCCUGCUGAGCCCAUAGAGGUACGGUAUGAUUAUCUGAGUAAAGCGGCUGGGGUAGAUGAUUAGCUAAAUUGCCUGUUGGAGCUCUGGUGGAGGAACAGCUGACCACGCCUGGUUGGUGUCAGCCCUGUCCCUUUGCAGCCAGGCCCAGGAAGGUGCACUAAUGUGGCAAAGAAAAUGAAAUCCAUCCUUUGCAAUGAGCCUUACAACAGGCUCUUGCCUUUGCCUUCAUUGCCUUUUAUUCCAGUCUCAAGUUCAUCUUUUAUCUGUGUUAAACCCACCCAGUCAGUGGACUCGAUGUCUCGUGCAGCAUCAGCAACAAAGAGAAAAUAUUCAACUCUUAAAAUGUCCUAGCCUAGUUUGAAGUCUGUCUUAGUCUUACUAUUUAAUUAUUUUUUUAAAAAAUAAAGAGGACCAAAUAGCAGUGGACCAUUCCUCCUCAGUGACGAUGCAGUCCUUUGGAAAAACAUGGGUAAAAAUCUCAGAAGUACCAUCAAAAGUUCAGUUUUCCCAUUGCAGCUGAAUGGUGAAAAUCCAGAUCUCGGGGAAAUGUUUGCAUUGCUUAAUUACUUAUGUGGAUAUGACAGAAAUGUGGAUUUUAAAGUCCUUUGUAGUCAAAUGUAAAUACAAAUCUGUCUCUAUCUCAUGACAAGUGUGUAUUUUUUUCCACUCUUGAGCAGUUAUGCUGAAAAUCUUAAUUAUCUUUAAAUCAAAUAGUGCUUUUCAGACCUCGUGAGCUGGAAUUAAGCACUCAUCAUUCUUUACUAAAUUUCAGCUAGAGGUUUUAAAAACAGCUGUCUCCAUCCCACGUAAUCCAGCCCUCGGUACAUUUUGUAAGACUUCUACAUGCCUCCUCGGAUAUAAAAUUAGCAAUCAGUUCUCCAAUUAAGCAAAGUCCUUUCAUGAGAGGAACAUAGCACUGGAAAGUCAAGGAAGAAAACAAAGAAAGCAUCUAUCGGUAUGUUUGUUUCUCUCCCUUUUUCUCUGUUCCAUUACUCCUGAAGGAUGCUUCCCGCUCCUACAAGCCAGCUCUGGCUGCUGCAGCUCCAGGACAGGUUCCCAGACCAUCUCAGCCAGACACAGGCCAAGGCGUCCCUGUACAGUACCAGGAAAGUCACUUGAGCUGCACGAGGGAUGUCCUCCUCUCUAAGAGCAGAAGAGUGCAGAAAACUCUUGCUGGAUUUGACCCAAUCGGUUUGUUUCCCUGGAACUGCAAGUGCUUAUUAUAUCUUCUCUUACGUAUUUUUUUUGUUGCCAGGCUCUAUUAAUGAACUUGGUCUAAGAAAAAUUAUAGCAACCCAUUUAAGCUACUUUUAACUUCAAGAGCUAAUCCCAGCACGCUGCUCCUCUGCUCAGAAGACUCUUGUUCUGUGAAUGGAGGAAGAUCAUAUUGGUCUCUCUGGUAGAGUGCUGAACACAACUCUUCACUUGGCACAGGGAACAGAUUGGAUAGAGAUUGAUUAAUGAAGAUAACUAAUUAGAAGCCUGGCCUGAGUCAGCCAAGGCAUUUCACAUAGAUAUGCAAAGAAGUAAAGAGUUGAAUUCAACAAAAAUUAGGGUUGAAGGAACACAUUUUUGUAUGUCAUUAUCUCUGGGUACUGGCUAAAACCUUUUGCAUGAUGUUAUAAUGGCUCUUUGUUGUACUGAAUAAUAACUUCUUAAGAUGAUAAUUAUAUUCUUGAUAGACAUCAAAAGUUAAAAAUAGGAAAGGAACAUGACUACAGACACUUUAAUGCUAAACAAACAGAAAAAUGCUAAACGUGCUAAUAGAAAAAAGAUCAGCUAAGUUCUUCAAUUGAGCUAUUUUAAGACCCAGUACCCAUCAAGGCUGCAGAGGUGGCUUUACUAACAAUUCCUGUUUGAUUAUGGGCAAACCACACAAUUUCUCUGAGCUUAUUCUCAUUGUGGAUAAAACAGAGGCAAUCAGACUUCCCUUGUUAACCUUGUCUUUAUAUUUUAGCCUUUUUUUGGAGCAAACAUUGUGUCACUUCAGAAAGGAAUAGCGUCUGGUACAACUGAGCCACACUUUGAUUCAAGGCUGUGGUGCUCCAGCAGCAGCAAUUUAUCACUUACAUAAAAAUAGUUUGUUUCAAUUUUAAAAUGUCAGAAAUGCUUUCUAGGACAGAACAAUCUACAGUUGUUGGAAAGGUGUUUUAUUUAUUGAAGAACUUCUUUCUUCCACUAAAUGCUUCACGGCCUCAGAGGCUGGGAAUAUCCUGCCUCUGGGAAUAUCCUGCCUUUGUGUCACUGGCUGUAAUGAAGCUCACAGAGCGGUGAAAUUGAAACAGGGAGACGACUGAGUUUGUUUUGGACCUCCUGUUUCUCAUUGAACAUUCACAAAAAUUCCAGCCUUCCUCUGGUUCUUUUAGCAAUGCUUACAAAAGGGCUGGAGCCUCCCUACGCCGCGAUGGUCACGCUGCAGCUCUGCAGGGCUGCGCUUGUGAUGCUGAGUUGGCACCAGGACAGGACACUCCCUUUGCACGGAGCAGUACGACCAGCAGCUGUCCUCUCUUCUGCCGACCGUGUGAUACUGCAGUCAUGUUUUAAACUUCAGCAUCUCAGUUUUACCUGACAUAAUUUCCAACAAGGGGAACAGUUGAGACUGGCCAGACACUGUGCCUGAGGCUCUGAGCCACACUGAACAGGUUUAUCUUCCAUUGCCUCCAGUGGAUAUUGGUCAGAACAUCCAUCUGAUGUUUGUCGCUGUUGGCAGGAUAUUGUUAUAAUUGUAACAUGGACAUUGCUAAGAUAUGCCUGAGAUUUUUAAUAACUUUUUAAGUCAGAACAUCUAGAAAUCUUUGAGUGAGGCCUGAAAGAGGUAAGAAAUACAGGACGUGAUUCCUUGAGCCAUGUACCUUUGUGACUCUGUGUGUGUAGCUUGUUUAUCUUCCUGCUUGCCUGUUUUCUAGGUCUUGUCUUAUGAAACCACACCUUCAGGGGCAAGUGCUGAACAGGUUAAAUUUUUCAGCAUAAAGCAGUGUCACCACUGAGAAAGUUAAUACCUUGGGAGAUGGUUACCAGUUCUCCUCCGUGAGUCACAAUCACUGAGCUGCUGAUGGCUUUUCGGGCAUGAACCAACAGGGCCCAGCUGGGCCCUCAACAAACCAAAUAACCACAUACCAAAACCACAUCAUCACCGUUGACAAAGUUGUCCUCUGCUGUCAGCCUGGCCCAAGAAACAAUGCUCAACUGGGAGUGCAGUUUCUGUUUCCCAGGGAGCAGAUAAACUCUUGUUGCUGUAGCCCCUGCGCUCCUAUAGCCUGAUUGUGUUUUCCCUUUCACGCUCAAGCCUGUGCCUCCUAGAGCUAUUAGAUUUGGCAGCUUUCAAAGAGCAAAACUCAGCCUCAUUAUACUGUUAGCAAUUUUGAUCCAGGCAGAACAAUAGCUGCCACCUUUCUCCAGCACAUCCCGAAUGCAUCUCUCAUUCUCCUCACUGGAAAGAUUAGCAGUUUGUAUCUCACCUCUUCCUGAGUGUAAGAAUGAGAAUCAUAGGCACCCAUACAGGAAAACACCCAACCUGGGAUAUGCAAGGGAGCGCUGCCUCUCUGCCCCCUCCACUCUGUUCUUGGAGACCUGCUGUGGCUCUGGCAUUCCUAGUUCUCUCCCCCACAACUCUGGGUGCUGAGCAGCACCACAGAUCUUAAAGAGAAAGAUAAUGCUAGUUAAUGCCUCCCCUAACUCUGCUGGAGGGGUUGAAACCCCCCCUCACCUUGACCGCUGAGCAUGAUUAGUAUCAGCGUAUGGUGCACAGUUUAAAAAUAAGUCUGCUUUGCAUUUUGUUUAGAGUUGCUGAGUCAAUGUCUGGAGAAGCAGCCUUAGAUCUCACGUCAGAACGAACCAGGGUAUGAAGAAGGACUUGCUAGGAAGAUCCAAAGGCACCUGACCUGAAAGGUCAUUCCGCUCAACUUUAGCAAAAGGCCUUUAACUUUGGAUACUAUAAACAUAAAUGUGACAACAACUAGUGAUGAAAAAUGUGGGAUCCACACAGCAAUAAAGAUGAUGAAGUCAGUCCAGAGAUGCUGACUUCUUCCAUCACAGA
This is a long non-coding RNA of Cuculus canorus (common cuckoo), 7145 nucleotides long. RefSeq lists it as uncharacterized. NCBI's taxonomy places the organism in Eukaryota, Metazoa, Chordata, Aves, Cuculiformes, Cuculidae. The record is from RefSeq and is a predicted model, not a curated record. The transcript has 3 exons.